AUUGAACGCUGGCGGCAUGCUUUACACAUGCAAGUCGAACGGUAACAGGCCUUCGGGUGCUGACGAGUGGCGAACGGGUGCGUAAUGCAUCUGAACGUACCCAGAGGUGGGGGAUAACGCAGCGAAAGCUGUUCUAAUACCGCCUGUGAUCUGAGGAUGAAAGCGGGGGACCGAGCAGCAAUGUUUGACCUCGCGCCUUUGGAGCGGCCGAUGUCGGAUUAGCUCGUUGGUGGGGUAAAGGCCUACCAAGGCGACGAUCCGUAGCUGGUCUGAGAGGACGAUCAGCCACACUGGGACUGAGACACGGCCCAGAAUCCUACGGGAGGAAGCAGUGGGGAAUUUUGGAGAAUGGGCGCAAGCCUGAUGCAGCAAUGCCGCGGGGUGGAAGAAGGCCUUCGGGGUGUAAACCGCUUUUGGCAGGAACGAAACGGUGUCGGCUAAUACCGGGCGGUAAUGACGGUACCUGCAUAAUAAGCACCGGCUAACUACGUG
Molecule: ribosomal RNA, 492 nt
Filed under: uncultured bacterium
Lineage: Bacteria
Description: partial 16S ribosomal RNA
Rfam family: Bacterial small subunit ribosomal RNA
Source: RNAcentral